ACGCGUGAAGUUGACCGCCUNGNNAGUACGNUCNNAAGANUAAAACUCAAAGGGAAUUGACGGGGACCCGCACAAGCGGUGGAUGAUGUGGAUUAAUUNGAUGCNACGCGNAAAACCUUACCUACCCUUGACAUGCCACUAACGAAGACAGAGAUGCAUUAGGUGCUCGAAAGAGAAAGUGGACACAGGUGCUGCAUGGCUGUCGUCAGCUCGUGUCGUGAGAUGUUGGGUUAAGUCCCGCAACGAGCGCAACCCUUGUCUCUUAGUUGUCUACGAAAGGGCACUCUAGAGAGACUGCCGGUGACAAACCGGAGGAAGGUGGGGAUGACGUCAAGUCCUCAUGGCCCUUAUGGGUAGGGCUUCACACGUCAUACAAUGGUGCAUACAGAGGGUUGCCAAGCCGCGAGGUGGAGACUAAUCCGCAGAAUAAUGCAUCGUAGUACCGGAUCGUANNCUGCAACUGACUNNNNNCGUGAAGCUGGAAUNGNNNNNNAUCGCGGAUCAGCAUGCCGCGGUGUACAGUUACGUCCCGGGUNUUGNACACACCGCCCGUCACACCAUGGUGAGUGGNCUUUA
This 576-nucleotide ribosomal RNA is filed under the name uncultured Ralstonia sp. Its description in RNAcentral is "partial 16S ribosomal RNA". It matches the Rfam family "Bacterial small subunit ribosomal RNA", at positions 855 to 1419 of the family's 1533-position model. Lineage: Bacteria; Pseudomonadati; Pseudomonadota; Betaproteobacteria; Burkholderiales; Burkholderiaceae. The record is from RNAcentral.